Molecule: ribosomal RNA, 1107 nt
Filed under: Fusarium proliferatum
Lineage: Eukaryota; Fungi; Ascomycota; Sordariomycetes; Hypocreales; Nectriaceae
Description: SSU rRNA
Rfam family: Eukaryotic small subunit ribosomal RNA
Source: RNAcentral
AUACAGCGAAACUGCGAAUGGGCUCAUUAUAUAAGUUAUCGUUUAUUUGAUAGUACCUUACUACUUGGAUAACCGUGGUAAUUCUAGAGCUAAUACAUGCUAAAAAUCCCGACUUCGGAAGGGAUGUAUUUAUUAGAUUAAAAACCAAUGCCCUUCGGGGCUCACUGGUGAUUCAUGAUAACUCCUCGAAUCGCAUGGCCUUGUGCCGGCGAUGGUUCAUUCAAAUUUCUUCCCUAUCAACUUUCGAUGUUUGGGUAUUGGCCAAACAUGGUUGCAACGGGUAACGGAGGGUUAGGGCUCGACCCCGGAGAAGGAGCCUGAGAAACGGGCUACUCACAUCCCAAGGGAAGGCCAGCAGGGCGCCGCAAUAUUUACCCCAAUCCCCGACACGGAGGAGCGUAGGGGACUAAUAAAAUACGUGAAUACGAGGCGCUCUUUGUGCGGUUCUCGCUACAUGGGGAAGUGAGCUACAUAUUCUAAACUCCCUCCACACGAGGUAACUAAUUGGAGCGGUCAAAGUCCUGGCUGCCACGCAGCCCGCGUGUUUAUUCCCAGGCUCCAAGUAGCGCUAUAUUUAAAGCUUGGUUGCUGGUUUAAAACACGCUCGGUAGGUUGAACUCUUGGGGCCGGGACUGGACCGGUCCCGCCUUCACCAGCGUGUACGUGGUCACGGCCGGCGCCUUUCCCUGCUGUGGGAACCUCCAUGCCCCUUCCACGUGGGGUGGGGGCGGGGUAAACAAGGACUUUUAACUGCGAAAAAAAUGAGAGUGCCUCCAGGCAGGCCUAUGCUUUAAUACGUGAGCAGGGAAUAACUGAAUAGGACGUGUGGUUCUAUUUUGUUGGUUUCAUAGGACCGCCGUAGUGAUUUAUAGGGACAGUCGGGGGCGAUCAGUAUUCAACUGUCAGAGCUGAAAUUCUAGGAUUUAUUCAAGACUAACCACUGCGAAAGCAUUUGCCAUGGAUGUUUUCAUUAAUCAGGAACGCAAAGUUAGGGGAUGGAAGACGAUCAGAUAUCCGUGUGUAGUCUUAACCAUAAACUAUGCCGACUAGGGAUCGGAUCGGUGUUAUUUUUUGACCCGUUCAGGCACCCCUUACGAGAAAUCAAAG